Molecule: ribosomal RNA, 512 nt
Filed under: Clostridium sp. enrichment culture clone CIBANICRA-SRB37
Lineage: Bacteria; Bacillati; Bacillota; Clostridia; Eubacteriales; Clostridiaceae
Description: bacterial SSU rRNA
Rfam family: Bacterial small subunit ribosomal RNA
Source: RNAcentral
CAGCGACGAUGCGUAGCCGACCUGAGAGGGUGAUCGGCCACACUGGAACUGAGACACGGUCCAGACUCCUACGGGAGGCAGCAGUGGGGAAUAUUGCGCAAUGGGGGAAACCCUGACGCAGCGACGCCGCGUGAGUGAUGAAGGUCUUCGGAUUGUAAACCUCUGUCUUUAGGGACGAUAAUGACCGUGCCUAAGGAGGAAGCCCCGGCUAACUACGUGCCAGCAGCCGCGGUAAUACGUCAGUGGCAAGCGUUGUCCGGAAUUACUGGGCGUAAAGAGUAUGUAGGCGGAUAUUUAAUUCAGAGGUGAAAUCCCCCGGCUCAACCUGGGAGCUGCAUUUGAUACUGGAUGUCUGGAGUGCAGGAGAGGAAAGUGGAAUUCCUAGUGUAGCGGUGAAAUGCGUAUAUAUUAGGAAGAACACCAGUGGGCGAAGGCGACUUUCUGGACUGUAACUGACGCGGAGAUACGAAAGCGUGGGGAGAGAACAAGAUUAGAUACCCUGGGGAUCCACU